This 397-nucleotide ribosomal RNA is filed under the name uncultured bacterium. RNAcentral describes it as "partial 16S ribosomal RNA". It matches the Rfam family "Bacterial small subunit ribosomal RNA", at positions 523 to 917 of the family's 1533-position model. The record is from RNAcentral.
AUACGUAGGGUGCGAGCGUUGUCCGGAAUUACUGGGCGUAAAGAGCUCGUAGGUGGUUUGUCGCGUCGUCUGUGAAAUUCCGGGGCUUAACUCCGGGCGUGCAGGCGAUACGGGCAUAACUUGAGUACUGUAGGGGAGACUGGAAUUCCUGGUGUAGCGGUGAAAUGCGCAGAUAUCAGGAGGAACACCGGUGGCGAAGGCGGGUCUCUGGACAGUAACUGACGCUGAGGAGCGAAAGCAUGGGUAGCGAACAGGAUUAGAUACCCUGGUAGUCCAUGCCGUAAACGGUGGGCGCUAGGUGUAGGGGUCUUCCACGACUUCUGUGCCGUAGCUAACGCAUUAAGCGCCCCGCCUGGGGAGUACGGCCGCAAGGCUAAAACUCAAAGGAAUUGACGGG